GAUGAAGACGUAGCAAAAUGCGAUACUUGGUGUGAAUUGCAGAAUCCCGUGAACCAUCGAGUUUUUGAACGCAAGUUGCGCCCGAAGCCUUUUGGCCGAGGGCACGUCUGCCUGGGCGUCACGCAUCGCGUCGCCCCCCACAAUUCUCCAUAAAGGGAACGUGUGUUUUGGGUGCGGAUAUUGGUCUCCCGUGCUCAUGGCGUGGUUGGCCGAAAUAGGAGUCCUUUCGAUGGACGCACGAACUAGUGGUGGUCGUAAAAACCCUCGUCUUUUGUUUCGUGCUGUUGCUCGCAAGGUAAACUCUUUAAAAACCCCAAUGUGUCGUCUCUUGACGACGCUUCGACCGCGACCCCAGGUCAGGCGGGACUACCCGCUGAGUUUAAGCAUAUCAAUAAGCGGAGGA
Molecule: unclassified non-coding RNA, 403 nt
Filed under: soil metagenome
Description: partial contains 5.8S ribosomal RNA, internal transcribed spacer 2, and large subunit ribosomal RNA
Rfam family: 5.8S ribosomal RNA (bases 1-121)
Source: RNAcentral